GCCUGAUGCAGCGACGCCGCGUGAGGGAUGACGGCCUUCGGGUUGUAAACCUCUUUCAGUAGGGACGAAGCGCAAGUGACGGUACCUAUAGAAGAAGCACCGGCCAACUACGUGCCAGCAGCCGCGGUAAUACGUAGGGUGCGAGCGUUGUCCGGAAUUACUGGGCGUAAAGAGCUCGUAGGUGGUUUGUCGCGUUGUUCGUGAAAACUCACAGCUUAACUGUGGGCGUGCGGGCGAUACGGGCAGACUGGAGUACUGCAGGGGAGACUGGAAUUCCUGGUGUAGCGGUGGAAUGCGCAGAUAUCAGGAGGAACACCGGUGGCGAAGGCGGGUCUCUGGGCAGUAACUGACGCUGAGGAGCGAAAGCGUGGGGAGCGAACAGGAUUAGAUACCCUGGUAGUCCACGCCGUAAACGGUGGGUACUAGGUGUGGGUUUCCUUCCUUGGGAUCCGUGCCGUAGCUAACGCAUUAAGUACCCCGCCUGGGGAGUACGGCCGCAAGGCUAAAACUCAAAGGAAUUGACGGGGGCCCGCACAAGCGGCGGAGCAUGUGGAUUAAUUCGAUGCAACGCGAAGAACCUUACCUGGGUUUGACAUGCACAGGACGUGCCUAGAGAUAGGUAUUCCCUUGUGGCC
RNAcentral lists this ribosomal RNA (635 nucleotides) under Mycobacterium sp. Se3Ps_2657. Its description in RNAcentral is "bacterial SSU rRNA". It matches the Rfam family "Bacterial small subunit ribosomal RNA", at positions 381 to 1028 of the family's 1533-position model. The record is from RNAcentral. Lineage: Bacteria; Bacillati; Actinomycetota; Actinomycetes; Mycobacteriales; Mycobacteriaceae.